GACGACGCUGGCGGCGUGGAUUAGGCAUGCAAGUCGAACGGUAGGAUACCUUCGGGUAUCUGAGAGUGGCGAACGGGUGAGUAACACGUAGGUGAUCUACCCUCAAGAUUGGGACAACCCAGGGAAACUUGGGCUAAUACCGGAUGAAAGCAGCAGUGAUGUUGUUUGAAAGGUGGCGUAAGCUGCCGUUUGGGGAUGAGCCUGCGCUCUAUUAGUUAGUUGGCGGGGUAAAGGCCCACCAAGGCGAUGAUAGGUAGGCGGCCUUAACGGGUGGUCGCCCACACUGGGAUUGAGAUACGGCCCAGACUCCUACGGGAGGCAGCAGUCGAGAAUAGUCUACAAUGGUCGGAAGACUGAUAGUGCGACGCCGCGUGAACGAUGAAUCCCUUCGGGGUGUAAAGUUCUUUUAUAUGUGAGCAGUGCUUCUUAUAUUAACAGUAUGGGGAGAGAGAUAUUAGCAUAUGAAUAAGCAACGGCUAACUCCGUG
RNAcentral lists this ribosomal RNA (487 nucleotides) under uncultured bacterium. RNAcentral's name for it is "bacterial SSU rRNA". It matches the Rfam family "Bacterial small subunit ribosomal RNA", at positions 33 to 507 of the family's 1533-position model. The record is from RNAcentral.